AACGCAUAUUGCGCUCGAGGCUUCGGCCAAGAGCAUGUCUGCCUCAGCGUCGGGUUAAUAUCACAUCCCCUAUUACCCUGUGUAGUGGGGCUCCAUGUGGACUUGGCCGUUCCAGUUCAGUGCGGGUUCUUGGCUUGUUGAUUCUUUCUCAACAAGACAUGCAUGCCCACCAAGCACCCUGGAUCGGCUGAAGAACAGAGGCUAACAAGGACUCUUCAAGGGUCGCAACUGAGUAGGCACUUGGUGCUCAUUACUUUAGUUGUUGGCCUGAGACCUUCUGUUCAGCCCUCAACCAGGAAAUGACCUACCAUCAACCUAUUACCUCGACCUGAGCUCAGGCAAGAACACCCGCUGAACUUAA
Molecule: unclassified non-coding RNA, 361 nt
Filed under: uncultured Chlamydomonadales
Lineage: Eukaryota; Viridiplantae; Chlorophyta; Chlorophyceae; Chlamydomonadales
Description: sequence contains 5.8S rRNA gene, ITS2, 28S rRNA gene
Source: RNAcentral